This 497-nucleotide ribosomal RNA is filed under the name uncultured bacterium. RNAcentral's name for it is "partial 16S ribosomal RNA". It matches the Rfam family "Bacterial small subunit ribosomal RNA", at positions 28 to 507 of the family's 1533-position model. The record is from RNAcentral.
GAUGAACGCUGGCGGCGUGCCUAAUACAUGCAAGUCGAGCGAACAGACGAGGAGCUUGCUCCUUUGACGUUAGCGGCGGACGGGUGAGUAACACGUGGAUAACCUACCUAUAAGACUGGGAUAACUUCGGGAAACCGGAGCUAACACCGGAUAACAUGUUGAACCGCAUGGUUCAACAGUGAAAGACGGUCUUGCUGUCACUUAUAGAUGGAUCCGCGCCGCAUUAGCUAGUUGGUAAGGUAACGGCUUACCAAGGCAACGAUGCGUAGCCGACCUGAGAGGGUGAUCGGCCACACUGGAACUGAGACACGGUCCAGACUCCUACGGGAGGCAGCAGUAGGGAAUCUUCCGCAAUGGGCGAAAGCCUGACGGAGCAACGCCGCGUGAGUGAAGAAGGUCUUCGGAUCGUAAAACUCUGUUAUUAGGGAAGAACAAAUGUGUAAGUAACUAUGCACGUCUUGACGGUACCUAAUCAGAAAGCCACGGCUAACUACGUG